GGGGAUUCAGGAAGCCAUUUCCUGAAAUACACACAUACAUUUACACAAACCCACAACACAGAAACUGGGGAACGUAAGGCACUUUUCAAAUGGAAUUGGCUGACAGGUCAGGAAUCUCUCAGACAACCUUUAUGCCAGACGUGUUAGGAGGUAUAAUUUAAUUGAUGUACCUCUACAUAAAGUUUCCUUACACGGUGGGUGAACAGGCAAAUAAAAAAGUGCAAUUUGCAGCAAUGUCUGGUUUCCCAAAUGUAAUUGGUGCUAUUGACUGCACUCAUGUUGCUAUACAGGCACAGAGUGAGAAUGAAUUUGCUUUCAAUAAUCGAGUGGCUCGGUGGCCUGGGUCAACCCAUGACUCAUUCAUAUGGAGCAACAGCAGUGUUGGGCGCAGACUUGAGGCCGGAGCUGUGCGUGUUGGCUGGCUUCUAGGCGACAGUGGAUAUCCCCUCAAGUGGUGGCUGCUCACCCUUUUCGCCAACCCACAGAGCGCAGAGGAGGGGAACUACAACUUGCGCCAUUGGCAAGGCAACCAAAAAGAAGGCACUGGCUGUCAUUGGCGAACCCUCCCACCCUCUACACCCUCAGUUCGAGAGGCUUACUUCGGACCGGUGCUUCAGAACGCCCAUGGCCAAGAAGAAUGUGUUCAAACAUUAAUUUGUUCCUUAUGCUGUUGGACUACUAAAAAAGUAAAGUAAAUUAUAUUGGUAUCUGGACUUAUCUAUCUAGUGCAGUUGGGACCGUGGUUGUUGUGAGUGAAUGUAUUAAUGUCCUCUGUUGUUGUGUAUGCAACAUGAUGCACUGACUGGUUUAAAUGUGUAUGAUGUGAGAAUGUAUGUGUAUGUGAUUGGUUUAAUGAAGGUGAUGCCAAAGAAAAAUGGCCAUCCUGGAUGGACAAUAAAGUUUUAUUCAAUGACA
This is a long non-coding RNA of Oncorhynchus nerka (sockeye salmon), 915 nucleotides long. RefSeq lists it as uncharacterized. The transcript is spliced from 3 exons. The record is from RefSeq and is a predicted model, not a curated record. NCBI's taxonomy places the organism in Eukaryota, Metazoa, Chordata, Actinopteri, Salmoniformes, Salmonidae.